AAUAAAAAAUUAUCAUUUUUGUAAUAUACAUCAUAGCAGCAUUGAGCUAGAUUUUCAGAAUUAGACUAUACUUAUUGAGCUGGAGCUCGUGUCGACAGCGUCUAAAUGGAUUCUCUGAGCGUAGCCAUAUUUCUCUAUGGGCGUUUCUACUUUAAUUUGUUGUUCCCCUAUGGCUCUAUGAACACGACCAUUCAAGAGGCCCUCGGAGAGGAAUAUAUGUUGAGGAGCGAAGCAGAAUAUCCGGAGAUGCGUCACAUCCUUUUCCUGCUUUUAUUGGCGUUCAAUGUGUGUAUGGAGCUGUAGCAACAAUCCAUCCACAAUCCGUAAUGUUAAAUUGUCUUAUCCUUAAGCAAAUCUGAACCUAUUGGACAAAACUUGAGAGCCUAAGAAGCAUCCACACAAUGCGCUUUUUAUUGAUACUGCUACCAGUUGAAUCCGUAUGGCUAACUUGACCAUUCAGGAGGCUCUCGGGGAUGAAUAUGUGAUUUGGAGGGGCGUCUUCAAACACUUAUUCAAUUAUUAUGAAAUACACGACACUCUUCUGUGUGUAAUGGCAAUUAAUAAUUAAGCCACUAGCUAUCAAUACAAUACAAUACAAUACCAAAUGUUAAAGCCCUACAUCAAGAGUACACAGGCGGCAUACUUGUGCGUCUUGGGGUAGCCGUUGAUGCGCCGCUAAUUAUUAAAUGUUACUUACAUAUGUA
Drosophila miranda is the source of this 704-nucleotide long non-coding RNA. RefSeq lists it as uncharacterized. The record is from RefSeq and is a predicted model, not a curated record. Lineage: Eukaryota; Metazoa; Arthropoda; Insecta; Diptera; Drosophilidae. The transcript is spliced from 4 exons.